This 265-nucleotide long non-coding RNA is filed under the name Ananas comosus (pineapple). RNAcentral describes it as "long non-coding RNA (ACOM_LNC015266)". The record is from RNAcentral. Lineage: Eukaryota; Viridiplantae; Streptophyta; Magnoliopsida; Poales; Bromeliaceae.
AUACACAGCCACUACUCCGAGCAGAGAUUCUUCAACCGAAACUGAGUCUCCACCGGAAACAAUUUCCGAUGCUCCACCUUUUUCCUCGGUAAUCUAUCAUUUCUUUAUUCGUCUUGAUCGUAAUCUUUUUCUCUGCUCAUCACUUUCGUUUAUUUCUAUUUUUAGUCAAUCCCUGCUUCUCCAUCGGUUCCAGUCUCCGACAAAAAACCUAUUGAAGUUGUUCAAAUCACUUCUCCGCCAUCCUCAAAACGGCGCAAGUCAGUGG